Molecule: ribosomal RNA, 18 nt
Filed under: Rhizoctonia sp. Abn1-2
Lineage: Eukaryota; Fungi; Basidiomycota; Agaricomycetes; Cantharellales; Ceratobasidiaceae
Description: partial 25S ribosomal RNA
Source: RNAcentral
CAUAUAAUAAGCGGAGGA